GGGUGAUUAUUCUCAGAGUUC
RNAcentral lists this microRNA (21 nucleotides) under Physcomitrium patens. RNAcentral describes it as "ppt-miR1064-3p". The record is from miRBase by way of RNAcentral. Lineage: Eukaryota; Viridiplantae; Streptophyta; Bryopsida; Funariales; Funariaceae.